UCUUCUUUCUCAACAAGCUUUGCAGAGUGCCCUUCCUUCUUCUCCUUCAUCCACAACAGCAACGACUUCAUUGAGCACAAACUGUUGAUUCUCAACUUGAAAUCCGCCGUUUCAGAGUGUAAUUGCAGUCUGAAAGUGAGCUUCGAAUUCUUCAAGGUCUCAGUCAGACGGGAAAUGCACCGUCUACCUUGAAACCCUUGUCGGUAAAGGAAGCUGCGAAAUUCCCACCGAUAAAAUUUCAUGCCAUCUUCACCUGAUUAGUGACAACGAAGAAGGAGCCAAAAGUAGAGUUUGCAUCCCAGUUUUACACAGGCUUUGUCAGGAGAGAUUCGCAGAGGUAGAUAACCUCUGUGACCAAAGGAGAGGGUUCCUGGCACUGGCCUUAGUACGGGCCCCCCAUCUCCAUAGCUUUGUCUACCUCUUCUUCUUCUUUAAGAUCGGUUCAAACUCAGCUUCGCAAUCCCAUCUCCACUCGAAGAGUUUUACAGGUGAAAGCUGUUUUGUUUUGCUGCAAGUGGCUUGUGUAUUGUUUAUUCAUGUUCUAUGGUUGCUUAUUUGUGGAAGUUCUGCUUGGACAAGUGCAUCCAAGAUGGCUCCUAAGGGUGAGAAUAUCCUCGAGUGGACUGAUUAGAUGGAGUUCACUUUCAUUCAUAUCAUGCUUGAGAAGUUGAAAAACGACCCACACGAUAUCUUGGAAGUAAAGGGAUUGGGAGGAGGUGAAUCUGGAGAUGGAAAGGCAAUUUCUCGAUGUCCAACUAGGCUUCCAGAAGCUCCAGCAGAAGACAACGAGAAUUAAGACUAUGUACAAGCAGUUCACUGAAUUGCUUUAUCAUAUUGGAGUCGGCUAGGAUGAAGACACCAAUACUAUCAAGGCGAGUCUCGAUUUAUGAGAUAAAUUUAUCAAGAAGAACAAGGCCUUCAAGACAUUCCGAACCAAUGGCUGCAAGAACUACAAACUGGUAAAUGAGCUUUUCAAUUCAUCAACUGCUACCGGUGCUCUACGCAUCUCCUCAACCGAUCCACAACGGACAUCUGACGAGGAUCGACAAAUACUAGAGGAAUUCCUAUCAACAUCCAAAGAACAGCAGAAGCAGCCCGUUAACCUCGAAGAAGGCUCCAACGAGAGUGAUGAUCGGGUCCAUGUGGUUGAAGAGCCGAUUAUAUGUGAGUCCCGACGUCGAGUGCAUAAAAGGCAUUUCUCGACAAACUCACAACUACAGGAGUGCAUGGACUUGUUCAAGGCCAGUUUCAAACCCAAGCCUAAGACCACCCCACCUGAGUCCAAGAGAAGCAAGUCAGUUUUCAGUCCUGAGAAACUAGAGAAAAAUAGCAUCGAUGAAGCAAUGGCAGAGUUGAAUCAACUAAAACCGACAAUCUCGAUUGACGAGUAUAUGGGAGGAAGCUUAGUUAUCAUUGAUGAUAGAGUUAGGAGGGUGUUCAUGUGCUACCUAGAAGUCAUAAGAAGGGAAUGACUAUGUCGUCUUACUAGCUCUUGAAUGACCUUGGGAUUUCUCUUUGUGUAUUGAUAUUGUUUGCGACAAUCUCAUUUCUUUCUCUUAAGUAUGACAUUCAUCGUACUGAUAUGUUUGUUAUGUGGGCUUGGAAAUUUUUAUGCUGUAUA
This is a non-coding RNA of Punica granatum (pomegranate), 1621 nucleotides long. NCBI's taxonomy places the organism in Eukaryota, Viridiplantae, Streptophyta, Magnoliopsida, Myrtales, Lythraceae. The record is from RefSeq and is a predicted model, not a curated record.